UACGUAGGGGGCGAGCGUUGUCCGGAUUUAUUGGGCGUAAAGCGCUCGCAGGCGGUCCGAUGCGUCGUGCGUGAAAGACCCCGGCUCAACUGGGGAGGGUCGUGCGAUACGGUCGGACUCGAGGCCAGUAGGGGGACGCGGAAUUCCGGGUGUAGUGGUGGAAUGCGUAGAGAUCCGGAGGAACACCAGCGGCGAAGGCGGCGUCCUGGACUGGUACUGACGCUCAGGAGCGAAAGCGUGGGGAGCGAUCCGG
RNAcentral lists this ribosomal RNA (253 nucleotides) under uncultured bacterium. Its description in RNAcentral is "partial 16S ribosomal RNA". It matches the Rfam family "Bacterial small subunit ribosomal RNA", at positions 524 to 776 of the family's 1533-position model. The record is from RNAcentral.